GACGAACCGUGCGAACGUUGUUCGGAAUCACUGGGCUUAAAGGGCGCGUAGGCGGCUUGCCAAGUCAGGGGUGAAAUCUUUCGGCUUAACCGGAAAAGUGCCUUUGAUACUGGCAGGCUAGAGGGAGGUAGGGGCAUGCGGAACUUCCGGUGGAGCGGUGAAAUGCGUUGAUAUCGGAAGGAACGCCGGUGGCGAAAGCGGCGUGCUGGACCUCUUCUGACGCUGAGGCGCGAAAGCUAGGGGAGCAAACGGG
Molecule: ribosomal RNA, 253 nt
Filed under: uncultured bacterium
Lineage: Bacteria
Description: partial 16S ribosomal RNA
Rfam family: Bacterial small subunit ribosomal RNA
Source: RNAcentral